Molecule: ribosomal RNA, 225 nt
Filed under: uncultured bacterium
Lineage: Bacteria
Description: partial 16S ribosomal RNA
Rfam family: Bacterial small subunit ribosomal RNA
Source: RNAcentral
ACGCUCGACACCUACGGGAGGAGCAGUAGGGAAUCUUCCACAAUGGACGCAAGUCUGAUGGAGCAACGCCGCGUGAGUGAAGAAGGUUUUCGGAUCGUAAAGCUCUGUUGUUGGUGAAGAAGGAUAGAGGUAGUAACUGGCCUUUAUUUGACGGUAAUCAACCAGAAAGUCACGGCUAACUACGUGCCAGCAGCCGCGGUAAUCUGAGGCGGGCGUGGCGAAGGC